AGAGGAACUCUUGGCCCAGGGGGAAAGCCUGGAAGAGGACCAAGAGGAUGUGGCUGCGAUCGACGACAACAAGAAAUGUGACUCUGCUAGCUUGGAGAAGGCCAGCAGCAGCUCCCUCUCCAUAGACCUUGUGGACAGCACCUCCACACAGACAGGGAAGGACGAGGCAGUGAAGGAAGGAGUGGGAAAGUCAGGAGAUUGGAAGCGUGGUUGCAAGAAGACCCUGAAGAAGAACAAGAUGGCUCCCUUUGGCACUGAUGAUACCGUGGCUGAUGAGCCGGGAAAACAGUGUCUCCUCCUGCGGAGUACAGCUGCCCUGGCAAACUUAUUUUGCUUCCCCUGCAAAAAGAGUGGUAAAAAGUUCAAGCCAUAAAAAGUUCAAGCCAUGAUGAAUCCCCCCAUAGCCCAGCCCAGACCUAUUUAAUUAAAUAAACAUGUACUUG
Molecule: long non-coding RNA, 443 nt
Filed under: Oncorhynchus kisutch (coho salmon)
Lineage: Eukaryota; Metazoa; Chordata; Actinopteri; Salmoniformes; Salmonidae
Description: lncRNA (ENSOKIG00005000546.1)
Source: RNAcentral